AUGCUUACCACCGGAGCCAGCAUGGCCCAGACAGUCACUCAGCCUCAGCAGGAAAAGUUCGUGCAGGAGACAGAGUCGGCAACCCUGGACUGCACAUACGACACGAGUGAUACUAAUUAUAACUUGUUCUGGUACAGACAGCAAAGAGGGCAGAUGACUCUCAUUAUUCGCCAAGAAGCUUAUAAGCAGCAGAACGCAACGGAGAACCGCUUCUCCGUGAAUUUCCAGAAAGCAGCGAAGUCCUUCAGCCUCGAGAUCUCAGACUUGCAGCUAGAGGAUGCUGCGAUGUAUUUCUGUGCACUCAUGGAGAGGGGCACAGUGACACAGGCAACACAGAGGGGCUAA
Cricetulus griseus (Chinese hamster) is the source of this 345-nucleotide non-coding RNA. The record is from the annotation of a RefSeq genome assembly. NCBI's taxonomy places the organism in Eukaryota, Metazoa, Chordata, Mammalia, Rodentia, Cricetidae.